AGCAGCCGCCGCGGGAAUACGAAGGGUGCAAGCGUUACUCGGAAUUACUGGGCGUAAAGCGUGCGUAGGUGGUGUUUAAGUCCGUUGUGAAAGCCCUGGGCUCAACCUGGGAAUUGCAGUGGAUACUGGGUCACUAGAGUGUGGUAGAGGAUAGUGGAAUUUCCGGUGUAGCAGUGAAAUGCGUAGAGAUCGGAAGGAACAUCUGUGGCGAAGGCGACUAUCUGGGCCAACACUGACACUGAGGCACGAAAGCGUGGGGAGCAAACAGGAUUAGAUACCCCUGUAGUCCCUGUCUCUUAUACA
This 303-nucleotide ribosomal RNA is filed under the name uncultured bacterium. Its description in RNAcentral is "partial 16S ribosomal RNA". It matches the Rfam family "Bacterial small subunit ribosomal RNA", at positions 507 to 808 of the family's 1533-position model. The record is from RNAcentral.